This 162-nucleotide small nuclear RNA is filed under the name Dasypus novemcinctus (nine-banded armadillo). Its description in RNAcentral is "U1 spliceosomal RNA (ENSDNOG00000033268.1)". It matches the Rfam family "U1 spliceosomal RNA". Rfam says of the family: U1 is a small nuclear RNA (snRNA) component of the spliceosome (involved in pre-mRNA splicing). Its 5' end forms complementary base pairs with the 5' splice junction, thus defining the 5' donor site of an intron. Lineage: Eukaryota; Metazoa; Chordata; Mammalia; Cingulata; Dasypodidae. The record is from RNAcentral.
AUAUUUACCUGGCAGGGGAAAUACCAUAAUCACAAAGGUGCUUCUCCCAGGGCAAGGCUUAUCCAUUGCACUCCGGGUGUGCUGACCCCUGCCAUUUCCCCAAAUGUGGGAAACUCAACUGCAUAAUUUGUGGCAGUGGGGGACUGCGUUCGCAUUCUCCCA